AUUGAACGCUGGCGGCAGGCCUAACACAUGCAAGUCGAACGAGUGGCGGACGGGUGCGUAAUGUCUGGGAAACUGCCUGAUGGAGGGGGCUAACUACUGGAAACGGUAGCUAAUACCGCAUACCAUCGGAUGUGCCCAGCUGGGAUUAGCUUGUAGGUGGGUGAAAGGCUCACCAAGGCGACGAUCCCUAGCUGGUCUGAGAGGAUGACCAGCCACACUGUAACUGAGACACGGUCCAGACUCCUACGGGAGGCAGCAGUGGGGAAUAUUGCACAAUGGGCGCAAGCCUGAUGCAGCCAUGCCGCGUGUAUGAAGAAGGCCUUCGGGUUGUAAAGUACUUUCAGCGGGGAGGCGUUACCCGCAGAAGAAGCACCGGCUAACUCCGUGCCAGCAGCCGCGGUAAUAC
This 406-nucleotide ribosomal RNA is filed under the name uncultured bacterium. RNAcentral describes it as "partial 16S ribosomal RNA". It matches the Rfam family "Bacterial small subunit ribosomal RNA", at positions 30 to 526 of the family's 1533-position model. The record is from RNAcentral.